GAUGAACGCUGGCGGCGUACCUAAUACAUGCGAGUCGAGCGAACAGACGAGGAGCUUGCUCCUCUGACGUUAGCGGCGGACGGGUGAGUAACACGUGGAUAACCUACCUAUAAGACUGGGAUAACUUCGGGAAACCGGAGCUAAUACCGGAUAAUAUAUUGAACCGCAUGGUUCAAUAGUGAAAGACGGUUUUGCUGUCACUUAUAGAUGGAUCCGCGCCGCAUUAGCUAGUUGGUAAGGUAACGGCUUACCAAGGCGACGAUGCGUAGCCGACCUGAGAGGGUGAUCGGCCACACUGGAACUGAGACACGGUCCAGACUCCUACGGGAGGCAGCAGUAGGGAAUCUUCCGCAAUGGGCGAAAGCCUGACGGAGCAACGCCGCGUGAGUGAUGAAGGUCUUCGGAUCGUAAAACUCUGUUAUUAGGGAAGAACAAAUGCGUAAGUAACUAUGCACGUCUUGACGGUACCUAAUCAGAAAGCCACGGCUAACUACGUG
This 497-nucleotide ribosomal RNA is filed under the name uncultured bacterium. Its description in RNAcentral is "partial 16S ribosomal RNA". It matches the Rfam family "Bacterial small subunit ribosomal RNA", at positions 28 to 507 of the family's 1533-position model. The record is from RNAcentral.